This 683-nucleotide long non-coding RNA is filed under the name Elaeis guineensis (African oil palm). RNAcentral describes it as "long non-coding RNA (EGUI_LNC003638)". Lineage: Eukaryota; Viridiplantae; Streptophyta; Magnoliopsida; Arecales; Arecaceae. The record is from RNAcentral.
CCUUAUGGCGUGAGCAUUAUUAGAGAAAGCCACUUCUUACGAUGCUUAGAUCCAUGGCUGAAUUGGAUCAUAUUAUUAUUAUUAUUAUUCAUAAGAUGGUUAAUUUAUAUAAAUUUUAUAUGAAUACAAUUAAUAGAAUUAAAAAAUAAAAUAUCUCGAAGCUAUCUCGGGAUAAUCCCCAUCGCAGUCUAGACGAUCUCUCCUGUGUGCUCUGCUAAAAAAGAUGACAUCCAAUCAGCUACCAAAUUCGUCUCGUGGAAGACAUGUCGGAUAAUCAGCACACUGCUCUCUUCUAAUAGUCUUAUUGCAUCAUGCAAAAGGAGGUGAGAGCCUCCGCCAGAGAUAUCUUUCUGCAGCCAAGCAAUCAUUGUGGCUGAAUCACCGUCCACUACGAGAUGGGUCGCCCCGAGAAUUGGAUCAUGUUAUUAAUUUCUUAGAUGUAAAUAUUGAUGUUUUGAAAGGAAGUGCGGCAUUUGUUAAUUUUAGUAUCCAUAUAUUUUCAAAGAAAAUUUGUCAAAAAUAGAUAUAUUAAUUAAUAAAAUUUAAGUAAGCGAGAAUUCUCUAAUAUUCAUACUCUGUUUGGCAACCAGAAAUUCUAGCUUCAAAUCCAGAAACUUUGACCUAGGAAGUUGAAUUAUUGAUUGGUGUCCCUCCAGCCCUCUAUUUCUUUCAAAAAUAAUUAG